CAUAGAGGAGGAUGAGCAAACUAGGCGGUUUUUGUAGAUUUUUUCAGACAAAUGGAAUAUUCCAAAGCCAUUCGGGCCCUUUGAACUGCCUUCAAUCCAUAAUAUUGUUUCUUGGAAGGACAGUGACUACUUAGUGGCUGCAGCGAAUUAAGCCGCUGUUAAGAGUAUGGCCUCUGAUAAAUCUCCGAGGCAAGAUGGAUUUCAGCUUUUAUUGUCAAAGUUUCUGGCCUAUCAUUAAAAAGUUGUGCAAGC
RNAcentral lists this long non-coding RNA (252 nucleotides) under Elaeis guineensis (African oil palm). RNAcentral describes it as "long non-coding RNA (EGUI_LNC011769)". The record is from RNAcentral. Lineage: Eukaryota; Viridiplantae; Streptophyta; Magnoliopsida; Arecales; Arecaceae.